AAAAUGAGCACAAACAAAUCAUAUAGGGUUAUGGUUUAUUUCCGGUUUUAUUUUGUUACCCCUGUUUGUCCGUCUUGAUUUACUUCCUGUUUUAUUUUGUUACCCGUGUUUGUCACUCCUAUCUUAUUUCCUGUUUUAUUUUGUAGCCGCGCUUGUCUCACACAUAAGCUACUUCCUGUUAGCUCACCUCCGUCUCAUCACGGGUGGUUGUGGACACCUGUGUCUCCUCUGUUUGUCCUCUUGUUUUCAGCGUCCGUCCCUUGUUUUCUUCGUGUUUCUCCAGUUUUAUCGUGGAUGUGACGUCAUCACUCGAGAGAGAAGCUCAAAUCAACUUCACCUCAGUUUCAUGAAGGUCAGGUGAAAUCACACAGCAGAAAUAAAUGUGUCACCUUUUUUCUGCUGCUCACUGUUAAUUCAAUUAUUCACCAAGUGACGGCAUCAUCGCCUUCAUCACCUGAGGAGGAGGAUGAAGACGCUGCUCUGGUUUAUUCCCUGAAGAGCUGCGUGGGACAGCUUGACUCUACAUCCAUGACUUCAUCGUGUCUCCUGUCCACAUCUGGAUCACCAAUCUACAGAACAGACCAUAAUGGCUCAGCUGUAACAGAAAAUGAGGUCGAACAUGAAUCUUCUCAUCAGCUGCAACCUUGACCCCGCCCACCAUCUUGUAACCAAUCACCUCAACGGCCUUGCAUACAUGGUCAUCAUGAGGCCCCACCCCCGUCACUCCUUACACAUACAAAUCAAACACACCCACUUGCUCUGACAGUGUUUUCCUUGAGUUCCUCUGCUGCUGGCUUUGACCUCUGGACAUGUUCUCUCUCCUCUGCACUGGACAAAUAACAGACUUUGUUAUUAGACAUUAUCUUAAUAAUUACACACAUUUUUUUUAACUUAUUAUCCAACAUAUGAUUCUAGUGAAUGACUCAAUGGAACCCUGGUGUUUUUGUGGGUCACUUCAGGUUCUUUGAAAGGAACAUUUUCUUUCCAAAUGUAUUUAAAAUACUGGGGAAAAUAAGGAAAUGACGUAAAAAAAACUCAGUGUCUUACCCUUCUGUCUCAGCUGUCCUUCACUCAUCAAAGAGACUCUACAGAACCUUCCAGAAGGUUAGACAGUGUCUAGAUGAAGAAAACCAGAAAAACAUAAUCAGUUUCUGUUGUUCAUAUGCUGGUGUUAACGUCAGCCUCUGCUUGUAUAUGAAAUAAAUGUAUGUUUGAAAGAA
This is a long non-coding RNA of Solea solea (common sole), 1220 nucleotides long. RefSeq lists it as uncharacterized. NCBI's taxonomy places the organism in Eukaryota, Metazoa, Chordata, Actinopteri, Pleuronectiformes, Soleidae. The transcript has 6 exons. The record is from RefSeq and is a predicted model, not a curated record.